This 254-nucleotide ribosomal RNA is filed under the name uncultured bacterium. RNAcentral's name for it is "partial 16S ribosomal RNA". It matches the Rfam family "Bacterial small subunit ribosomal RNA", at positions 524 to 776 of the family's 1533-position model. The record is from RNAcentral.
UACGUAGGGUGCGAGCGUUAAUCGGAAUUACUGGGCGUAAAGCGUGCGCAGGCGGUUCGUUGUGUCGGCGGUGAAAGCCCCGGGCUCAACCUGGGAAUGGCCGUUGAAACUGGCGAACUGGAGUGUGGCAGAGGGGGGUGGAAUUCCGCGUGGUAGCAGUGAAAUGCGUAGAGAUGCGGAGGAACACCGAUGGCGAAGGCAGCCCCCUGGGCUAACACUGACGCUCAGGCACGAAAGCGUGGGGAGCAAACAGG